ACGCUCGACCCUACGGGAGGAGCAGUGGGGGAUAUUGCACAAUGGGGGGAACCCUGAUGCAGCGACGCCGCGUGAGGGAAGAAGGUUUUCGGAUUGUAAACCUCUGUCCUCAGGGAAGAAGAUGACGGUACCUGAGGAGGAAGCCACGGCUAACUACGUGCCCGCAGCCGCGGUAAUCUGAGCGGGCUGGCAAGGC
Molecule: ribosomal RNA, 196 nt
Filed under: uncultured bacterium
Lineage: Bacteria
Description: partial 16S ribosomal RNA
Rfam family: Bacterial small subunit ribosomal RNA
Source: RNAcentral